GGCAAAAGCUCAAAUUUGAAAUCUGGCGUCUUCGACGUCCGAGUUGUAAUUUGAAGAAGGCGACUUUGUAGCUGGUCCUUGUCUAUGUUCCUUGGAACAGGACGUCAUAGAGGGUGAGAAUCCCGUGUGGCGAGGAUCCCAGUUAUUUGUAAAGUGCUUUCGACGAGUCGAGUUGUUUGGGAAUGCAGCUCUAAGUGGGUGGUAAAUUCCAUCUAAAGCUAAAUAUUGGCGAGAGACCGAUAGCGAACAAGUACAGUGAUGGAAAGAUGAAAAGAACUUUGAAAAGAGAGUGAAAAAGUACGUGAAAUUGUUGAAAGGGAAGGGCAUUUGAUCAGACAUGGCGUUUGCUUCGGCUUUCGCUGGGCCAGCAUCAGUUUUAGCGGUUGGAUAAAUCCUCGGGAAUGUGGCUCUGCUUCGGUAGAGUGUUAUAGCCCGUGGGAAUACAGCCAGCUGGGACUGAGGAUUGCGACUUUUGUCAAGGAUGCUGGCGUAAUGGUUAAAUGCCGCCCGUCUUGAA
Molecule: ribosomal RNA, 517 nt
Filed under: Kluyveromyces marxianus
Lineage: Eukaryota; Fungi; Ascomycota; Saccharomycetes; Saccharomycetales; Saccharomycetaceae
Description: eukaryotic LSU rRNA
Rfam family: Eukaryotic large subunit ribosomal RNA
Source: RNAcentral